UACGGGGGGGGCAAGCGUUGUUCGGAAUUACUGGGCGUAAAGGGCGCGUAGGCGGUUUGCUAAGUUGGACGUGAAAACUCUGGGCUUAACCCAGAGCCUGCAUCCAAAACUGGCAAGCUAGAGUUUUGGAGGGGGAAGCGGAAUUCCUGGUGUAGCAGUGAAAUGCGUAGAUAUCAGGAGGAACACCGGUGGCGAAGGCGGCUUCCUGGACAAAAACUGACGCUGAGGCGCGAAAGCUAGGGGAGCAAACAGG
RNAcentral lists this ribosomal RNA (253 nucleotides) under uncultured bacterium. Its description in RNAcentral is "partial 16S ribosomal RNA". It matches the Rfam family "Bacterial small subunit ribosomal RNA", at positions 524 to 776 of the family's 1533-position model. The record is from RNAcentral.